RNAcentral lists this transfer-messenger RNA (360 nucleotides) under Novosphingobium sp. CF614. RNAcentral's name for it is "Alphaproteobacteria transfer-messenger RNA". It matches the Rfam family "Alphaproteobacteria transfer-messenger RNA". Rfam says of the family: Bacterial tmRNA, also known as 10Sa RNA or SsrA, is named for its dual tRNA and mRNA-like properties. Its role is to liberate the mRNA from a stalled ribosome. Lineage: Bacteria; Pseudomonadati; Pseudomonadota; Alphaproteobacteria; Sphingomonadales; Sphingomonadaceae. The record is from Rfam by way of RNAcentral.
UCACUUCACAUUCAGGCGCGAUCCUCUAUAUGGGCACCUGCCGGACAUGUGCCGGCUAUGACGAUAAACUGCGCCGUACAAUAGACGCAGCGGACCCGGGGGCGGUACCCGGCGGCUCCACCACCAUCACCGCGCUCCACGACAGGGAGGCGGCGGUGUUGAUGACGGGGCCGAACUAGGAUCGACGUGUGUUGAAAAGCGGUGUUUUCGUCCGGGCUGAGUAACCCGUUAAAGGCUCAAAACUCAUAAGUGCCAACGACAACGAAGCACUUGCUCUCGCCGCGUAAUUCUAGGGCCUAGCGGCCUGAAGUUACAAAGCUAGAACGCGGUUGGACCCACCGGUCAACAGAAGCGGAUUCC